RNAcentral lists this ribosomal RNA (451 nucleotides) under uncultured bacterium. RNAcentral describes it as "bacterial SSU rRNA". It matches the Rfam family "Bacterial small subunit ribosomal RNA", at positions 354 to 796 of the family's 1533-position model. The record is from RNAcentral.
GUGGGGAAUAUUGGACAAUGGGGGGAACCCUGAUCCAGCCAUGCCGCGUGUGUGAAGAAGGCCUUUUGGUUGUAAAGCACUUUAAGCGAGGAGGAGGCUACCGAGAUUAAUACUCUUGGAUAGUGGACGUUACUCGCAGAAUAAGCACCGGCUAACUCUGUGCCAGCAGCCGCGGUAAUACAGAGGGUGCAAGCGUUAAUCGGAUUUACUGGGCGUAAAGCGCGCGUAGGUGGCCAAUUAAGUCAAAUGUGAAAUCCCCGAGCUUAACUUGGGAAUUGCAUUCGAUACUGGUUGGCUAGAGUAUGGGAGAGGAUGGUAGAAUUCCAGGUGUAGCGGUGAAAUGCGUAGAGAUCUGGAGGAAUACCAAUGGCGAAGGCAGCCAUCUGGCCUAAUACUGACACUGAGGUGCGAAAGCAUGGGGAGCAAACAGGAUUAGAAACCCGAGUAGUCC